RNAcentral lists this ribosomal RNA (434 nucleotides) under uncultured Lachnospiraceae bacterium. RNAcentral's name for it is "partial 16S ribosomal RNA". It matches the Rfam family "Bacterial small subunit ribosomal RNA", at positions 341 to 792 of the family's 1533-position model. The record is from RNAcentral. Lineage: Bacteria; Bacillati; Bacillota; Clostridia; Lachnospirales; Lachnospiraceae.
ACGGAAGGCAGCAGUGGGGAAUAUUGGACAAUGGGGGGAACCCUGAUCCAGCGACGCCGCGUGAGUGAAGAAGUAUUUCGGUAUGUAAAGCUCUAUCAGCAGGGAAGAAAAUGACGGUACCUGACUAAGAAGCCCCGGCUAACUACGUGCCAGCAGCCGCGGUAAUACGUAGGGGGCAAGCGUUAUCCGGAUUUACUGGGUGUAAAGGGAGCGUAGACGGCAAUGCAAGUCUGAAGUGAAAUCCCGCGGCUCAACUGCGGAGCUGCUUUGGAAACUGCAUAGCUGGAGUGUCGGAGAGGUGAGUGGAAUUCCCAGUGUAGCGGUGAAAUGCGUAGAUAUUGGGAGGAACACCGGAGGCGAAGGCGGCUCACUGGACGAUAACUGACGUUGAGGCUCGAAAGCGUGGGGAGCAAACAGGAUUAGAUGCCCUGGUA